AUCCAGACUCCUACGGGAGGCAGCAGUGGGGAAUAUUGCACAAUGGGGGAAACCCUGAUGCAGCGACGCCGCGUGAGUGAAGAAGUAUUUCGGUAUGUAAAGCUCUAUCAGCAGGGAAGAAAAUGACGGUACCUGACCAAGAAGCCCCGGCUAACUACGUGCCAGCAGCCGCGGUAAUACGUAGGGGGCAAGCGUUAUCCGGAUUUACUGGGUGUAAAGGGAGCGUAGACGGUUGCGCAAGUCUGGAGUGAAAGGCGGGGGCCCAACCCCCGGACUGCUCUGGAAACUGUGUAACUGGAGUGCAGGAGAUGUAAGUGGAAUUCCUAGUGUAGCGGUGAAAUGCGUAGAUAUUAGGAGGAACACCAGUGGCGAAGGCGGCUUACUGGACUGUAACUGACGUUGAGGCUCGAAAGCGUGGGGAGCAAACAGGAUUAGAUACCCCCGUA
RNAcentral lists this ribosomal RNA (446 nucleotides) under uncultured bacterium. Its description in RNAcentral is "bacterial SSU rRNA". It matches the Rfam family "Bacterial small subunit ribosomal RNA", at positions 329 to 792 of the family's 1533-position model. The record is from RNAcentral.